RNAcentral lists this ribosomal RNA (256 nucleotides) under uncultured bacterium. RNAcentral's name for it is "partial 16S ribosomal RNA". It matches the Rfam family "Bacterial small subunit ribosomal RNA", at positions 28 to 285 of the family's 1533-position model. The record is from RNAcentral.
GACGAACGCUGGCGGCGUGCUUAACACAUGCAAGUCGAGCGGUAAGGCCCUUUCGGGGGUACACGAGCGGCGAACGGGUGAGUAACACGUGGGUGACCUGCCCUCAGCUCUGGGAUAAGCCUGGGAAACCGGGUCUAAUACUGGAUAUGACUCCAUGACGCAUGUUGUGGGGUGGAAAGCCUUGUGCGGCUGAGGAUGGGCCCGCGGCCUAUCAGCUUGUUGGUGGGGUGANGGCCUACCAAGGCGACGACGGGUA